Molecule: ribosomal RNA, 513 nt
Filed under: uncultured bacterium
Lineage: Bacteria
Description: partial 16S ribosomal RNA
Rfam family: Bacterial small subunit ribosomal RNA
Source: RNAcentral
GAUGAACGCUGGCGGCGUGCCUAAUACAUGCAAGUCGAACGCGCAGCGAAAGGUGCUUGCACCUUUCAAGCGAGUGGCGAACGGGUGAGUAACACGUGGAUAACCUGCCUCAAGGCUGGGGAUAACAUUUGGAAACAGAUGCUAAUACCGAAUAAAACUUAGUAUCGCAUGAUACAAAGUUAAAAGGCGCUACGGCGUCACCUAGAGAUGGAUCCGCGGUGCAUUAGUUAGUUGGUGGGGUAAAGGCUUACCAAGACGAUGAUGCAUAGCCGAGUUGGGAGGCGGAUCGGCCACAUUGGGACUGAGACACGGCCCAAACUCCUACGGGAGGCUGCAGUAGGGAAUCUUCCACAAUGGGCGCAAGCCUGAUGGAGCAACGCCGCGUGUGUGAUGAAGGCUUUCGGGUCGUAAAGCACUGUUGUAUGGGAAGAAAUGCUAAAAUAGGGAAUGAUUUUAGUUUGACGGUACCAUACCAGAAAGGGACGGCUAAAUACGUGCCAGCAGCCGCCGUAA